Arachis ipaensis is the source of this 1311-nucleotide non-coding RNA. The record is from RefSeq and is a predicted model, not a curated record. Lineage: Eukaryota; Viridiplantae; Streptophyta; Magnoliopsida; Fabales; Fabaceae.
UUCAAACCCGCCCUUUUGUUUCAAUUUUUAUCUUCUUCUCAAAAACUGCCCUGCCUCCUUACGGUUUUCAGAGAGGCUUCACUCACUCACACAGUCACACUUCUCUCCUACCUGUGGCCACCAUCGAUCUUCCAGGUCGCACUCCAGCCAACCUCCGCCCUUGCAACUCAGGCGACCUCUACCCUCUCUCGUUCUUCGUGCUCACAGAUUAGAGAGCCCUAACUCGCUCACCUGCUCUGCCCUGUGGCCACCGCCGCGCCGCUGAUCUUCCGGGUCGCACUCCAGCCAACCUCCGACCUCGCAACUCAGGCGACCACCACCCUCGUGGUUCGCGUUCACAGGUAAUAGCUCUCACCCGCUCACACUGCUCUGCCUCCUGCAUGUGGCCGCCUCCUCCGAUCUCUCGGACCUCGCACCGCCACCAGCCUCCAACCCUUGCCACUUUGCGUCUUUGUGCGACCUCUGUGGCUCUGUCAAGUCCCAAUUUUUUUCUCCGACAACCAUUAUUCCAUUCUUCGGAGAUCAAUUCUUUUGGGGGGAUAGAAUCUAUCAAAAAGGGCUAGGUCCAGCACCAAUUCCAAUUUCUCAGCUCACUCUUGAGAAUUUAUCAAAUGCCAUAAAGUUCAUGCUCCAGCCAGAGGUGAAGUCUCAAGCAAUGGAAGUUGCAAAGUUGAUUAAGGAUGAAGAUGGUGUUACUGCAGCGGUUGAUGCGUUUCACCGGCAUCUACCUUCUGAGCUACCGCUUCCAACACCAUCUCCGGUGGAGGAUCACCCAAAUGCUUUGCAGUGGUUUUUUUCUUCAAAUAUCCAAGUGGUGUUGUGUGCCUUGUGGUGGUGUAUAGUGUUUUUUUCCCCACUCAGUAAAGUGCUCAUUGUUUUGUAUGAGACAUUCCGAAUGCAUUCGUCAAAGUUUAGCUCUAGUGGCUCUCGUGACCUCCUUAUCUGUGAUGAGGCUCACAGACUAAAGAAUGAUCAGACGAUAACAAACAGGGCAUUGGCAGCUCUUCCAUGUAAACGUAGAAUUCUAUUUUCAGGAACUCCUUUGCAGAAUGACUUGGAGGAAUUCUGUGGAAGUUGAGGCUGAGAAACUACUAAGAUGCAUGGAAUGAAUAUUAUCAACAGUGUCAGACUUUUAUGAUACUUUAAGUACUUAAAUCUCUGUCUCUCGCCAAGGUUGCAGCAGCAGAGGCUGAGCGAGAGAGAAACCAGUGAUGGAUUGUUUGUCACUUCCAUCGUUCAUUUGGAUUCCAUCAACAUCUAAGUAUGAAAAACACAGCAACCAUCAAAAGAAGUUCCGAAUUGCGGUGUCUA